ACAAGAGUUACAAGUGCAUGCAAACAAGAUCAAAUUAAAUAAGAAAUAUGAAGAGGAUACUUUAAGACGAAUAAGAGAAUCACGUGAUGAAUGCAUAAAAAUUGAUCAGAAGCUUUGGCUGCUACAGCAACAGGAUGCCAAAAGACGAGGCUUGCCAGGGAUGGAAUGCAUCAAGCCGAU
RNAcentral lists this unclassified non-coding RNA (180 nucleotides) under Gigantopelta aegis. RNAcentral's name for it is "uncharacterized LOC121368285, transcript variant X2". The record is from RNAcentral. Lineage: Eukaryota; Metazoa; Mollusca; Gastropoda; Neomphalida; Peltospiridae.